RNAcentral lists this ribosomal RNA (406 nucleotides) under uncultured bacterium. Its description in RNAcentral is "bacterial SSU rRNA". It matches the Rfam family "Bacterial small subunit ribosomal RNA", at positions 954 to 1361 of the family's 1533-position model. The record is from RNAcentral.
GCUUAACGCGAAGAACCUUACCUGGUCUUGACAUCCACGGAACUUUCCAGAGAUGGAUUGGUGCCUUCGGGAACCGGAGACAGGUGCUGCAUGGCUGUCGUCAGCUCGUGUCGUGAGAUGUUGGGUUAAGUCCCGUAACGAGCGCAACCCGUUGUCCUUAGUUGCCAUCAUUAAGUUGGGAACUCUAAGGAGACUGCCGGUGACAAACCGGAGGAAGGUGGGACGACGUCAAGUCAUCAUGGCCCUUACGAGUAGGGCUACACACGUGCUACAAUGGGGAGUACAGAGGGAAGCGAAUCCGCGAGGUGGAGCAAAUCCCACAAAACUCUUCGUAAGUCCGGAUUGGAGUCUGCAACUCGACUCCGAUGAAGUCGGAAUCGCUAGUAAUCGCAAAUCAGCAUGGCCG